CUGCAGCUGGUUAAGCCGAGUCACCGACCUCCCUGAUGGGGGCUCAGUGUGCAGCGGCUGCAAAAAGCAGAUUCCUGGUUGUGUGUACAGCUCAUUCCUUUUCUGUGUUGCUCUAAGGCACCUUGCAGACGUUG
Diceros bicornis minor is the source of this 134-nucleotide small nucleolar RNA. RefSeq annotates it as small nucleolar RNA SNORA70. The transcript has a single exon. The record is from RefSeq and is a predicted model, not a curated record. NCBI's taxonomy places the organism in Eukaryota, Metazoa, Chordata, Mammalia, Perissodactyla, Rhinocerotidae.